UACGGAGGAUGCAAGCGUUAUCCGGAUUUAUUGGGUUUAAAGGGUGCGUAGGCGGGAAAAUAAGUCAGUGGUGAAAUCCUACAGCUUAACUGUAGAAUUGCCGUUGAUACUGUUUUGCUAGGAUUUGGUUGUAGUGUGCGGAAUGUGUGGUGUAGCGGUGAAAUGCUUAGAUAUCACACAGAACACCGAUUGCGAAGGCAGCACACUAAGUCAUUAUUGACGCUGAGGCACGAAAGUGUGGGGAUCAAACAGGAUUAGAUA
RNAcentral lists this ribosomal RNA (261 nucleotides) under uncultured prokaryote. RNAcentral's name for it is "partial 16S ribosomal RNA". It matches the Rfam family "Bacterial small subunit ribosomal RNA", at positions 524 to 784 of the family's 1533-position model. The record is from RNAcentral.